CAUAUUUCUUCCCCAACUUCUUCUUCUCCAUUUUCAUCAAACUUGCAAACUAACCCACCCAUUUCGAACCGGCAUCCUGCGAAGACCACUUCCUCCCUAACCCAGUGCCAUCUCACGUCGCCUCUCUCUGCCCAGCGCCACCCUGCCUCGUGCCGCCUUCCUCUACCCAGCGCCACCCUGCUACACUGUCCCUCUAUGCAGCGCCACCCCGUGACACUCCUUGGUUGCGCCGCCCCUCCCCGAAGCAAGUACAUAUCAGUGCAAAUCUGCAUACGCAGGAUCUUCAAGGUCAACUCCUUCUAUUCAACUCCAUUAUUUUUGUGGUGUUAUUUACUCUGUUGGAUUCCUUUGUGUUCUGUUAAUUAAACCCUAACCUAGACCCUUCCUUUCCGUCCACUUCGCACUCUUCUUUUCCUUCCCCCUACUCUGCUCGCACAAGAAGCUAUUUGGCCCAAGGUUUUCCAGGUUAUUUCCUUUGGUUGGCAUUAUGCCUCCCAAUCUUGCAAUUUGCUGCUUGUUUCUAGAGGAGCCUGAUGAUUCCGUGCAUAUAUUCACCGGUCAUACCGGUGAGGUUUAUACAGUUGCCUGCAGCCCAAUGGAUGCUUCGUUAGUGGCAACUGGGGGUGGAGAUGACAAAGGAUUUCUUUGGAGGAUUGAGCAUGGAGAUUAGAACUUUUGAGCUCCAAGGUCAUGGAGAUUCCAUUUGCUGUUUAGCCUUUAGCACUGAUGGACCGUUGCUGGCAUCUGGAUGCUUGGGUGGACUUAUUAAAAUCUGGGACAUACCGUCCCAAAAUCUCAAAUUUUCACUUGAUGGUCCCGAAGAGGGCAUUGAGUGGAUCAGGUGGCAUCCAAGAGGACAUUUGGUCUUGGCUGGUUCGGAGGACUCUAUUGUUUGGAUGUGGAAUGCUGAUAAAGGUGCCUGCCUCAAUACAUUUUCAGGUCAUUGUGGUAGCGUCACUUGUGGUGAUUUUACCCCCGAUGGUAAAGUAGUUUGUACUGGUUCUGAUGAUGCAACAUUGUUAUUAUGGGAUCCAAAAAGUGGUAAAAACAUUCAUGUGGUAGGGGGUAUGUAAUUGAAUUUCAGCUCCAAAUCUCCUAUUUUGUUUUUCUUAUGGAAAUUAUAGUAGUUAAAAUUCAACCUCAGAAAGGAAAGUGUAGAAGUUUCAACCUCAAGAAAUGAAGUAUAAAAGGAACUGUCAAAACUCUUAAAUAAAGUGACAAUGGAUAAUUCAUGAUCUGCAAAUUUAUUUGUCGAAAACCAAAAAUAUUGGCACAUUUUUAAGCCACUUGAGGAAGAAUCUAGAAAAACUUUCCCAUCUGGUGAACCUUAUGAGGUAGGCAGAUUUAGAGAAUCUAUCUGCGUGUGCUCUGGUGGGCCUUAGGGUGUGAAAUUAGUGAGUUAGGGACUUGGGAUUUUAUUAUGAUGUGAUUAGGGUCUAUGGUUUAGAAAAUGGCCUGGAAAGCAUUGGAUUUGAAAGGGUGAAAGGGGGCCAAAACAAAGAACACAUGCUGGAAGAGUUCUGUUCUCUAAAAUAAUUAUGUUAGGGUUUGUUUCAUUUAUUAUUUGUGGCCAAAGGCUUAGGGAUCAUAUGUCAGGUUUCAUGAUUUUUAUAGGAUUAACGAAUUUGAUUUGAUUUGGGCUUACAGAAGAGAUGAUAAAACGAUGAGAUUGAAUUGAAUCUGUUCACAGCUGUUGAUGUGAACAGUACUUUCUAUUUUUCUACCAAUCGACUCUAAAAUCAUCGAGUCCAAAGGCACCCAUAUAGACUCUUGAUAAAAACUUCUCCUAAUAGGUGUGAAGCUCUCACUUUGACUCAUGAAGAAACUCAUGGCCCAUGACUAUGGCCCACAACCAGGAAUUAUAUAAAUUUGAAAAUAUCCUUUUGAUUGAACAAAUUUGAAAAUAUCCUCAACUCUAGAAAUCCAAAAAGACAUCAUAAAAGGUGUUCAGUAGUCAAGAACCUAACAAGGUAUUUUCUCUUCUAUACGUCCUUUUUGGAAGAUGCCAUUGAUCCUUUUGCAAGGGAUGGUGUCUUCUCAGUAGAGACUAUUGGAGUUUUUACCAAAGCCUUCAUUCCUUUACAAGACUUCAUGUAUUAAUGAUCAUUUUCAAGCUUGAACAACUAUCUGCAUUGUCUGCAUUUAAGUCUAAAGUAUUUUGUUUGAAUUUAUGGUUUAUGGUUUUAUUCUCAAGGGGACUUAGAUCACACUUUUAAGUUCAGUAUUCCAACAUUUGCAGCAUAGCUACUCUUCACAAUUGAUGGUAUUUUGAUUAACUCAUUCUUUAUCAUGGCUUUGGUUUGUUCUCAAGUCAAGAAAUGAUUAAAGUUUCUUCUUGAUUGCAUUCUAGCACUACAAUUUCUUUGAUCUCUGCUACAGAUGGUUGGUACUUGUUGAUGAUCAAUCACUCAGUUCCUUCAAUACAUUGAAAUGUGUGGGGAUUUUUACUAUGAUGCAUGUCUGCUUACAUGUGUAAAGUUAAUUAAGAACCAUACUUUUCUUGGCCAUUUUAUAUUAUUCUGCACAUGGUCCAAAUAUCAAGGCAAAAAUUGAGUCUAUGAGUAUAUUAUUAUUAGCUUCUACCCUUUUUAUUGUUUUAGUUCCGAUUGUUAGGAUAUAUGUGGUCAACUCUAAAUGGUGGGAUGGGGCUACAUUGUGUUUGAGUUAAGGUGGGAUGAAAUAUUUAAUAUAAUAUGCGUUGGAUAGAUGGAAAUUGGUUCUUUCUUAAACACACUUCCAAGUUCUAAAAUUUUCUGCAACAGAUUCUGUUAUGGUUUCCUUCAACUUCAUGUAUCCUUACAUUUUCCCCCUAAUACUUGUUUAGUUGGGUGUGUAACUAUGUGGAGGGAAGGUAGAACUUUGCAGAAUUCGUGUUGUCUACUGCUUGAGGAGGUGAGAUGAUUUUCUGCCUUGUUUUGUUCCAUGCCGACAUGCUACUACAAAAAGGUUCUGCUAUAGUUUCGUUUCUUUCCUUUCUUAGUUAUAUGCUCAACACAAAAAUAGCAACCAAAACAUCUGCAUUAUCUGAGAGAUUUUGCUGCAAUCAGAAUUUUCGUAUGGUGAUCUUCCACUUCAAUUUUUGUUCAUUAAAAUCUCAUAUAUUACUUGUUUAGUUUAGUGUAUAACCAAGUGGAGGGAGUGCUUAAACAAGGGAAAUUUACACAACCUAUUGCACAAAAGACGUAAGAUAAUUUUUCUACUCCAUUUUGCCCCAAACAUUUUAGUUUUUGCUGUGAUUUUAGUCCUCUCUUUUUAAUCCUUUUCAGAACUUCAUUUUUGUUUGUCAAACUCCUAAAACUCAGUUUGUACUUGUGAGCUAUGUCCCCAAGCAAAUAAUUGAAGUGAACAGCCAAGGAUUUCUCCCAAACCAACUCUUCAUGUCCAAAUCAUAAAGAUCAGUCCACUAAUUGAAGGUAGACUGGAUAUGCAAUACAAGUUCUAAUAUGUGGCCACACAUUGAUAAGAUUGGAGUUGGAGAGAUUGAAAGGCAAAAAAAUGCUGAACAAUGAAUCCCCCC
RNA transcript from Carya illinoinensis, 3517 nucleotides. It is a transcript of the gene named angio-associated migratory cell protein-like, with no coding region annotated. Lineage: Eukaryota; Viridiplantae; Streptophyta; Magnoliopsida; Fagales; Juglandaceae. The record is from RefSeq and is a predicted model, not a curated record. The transcript is spliced from 8 exons.